Molecule: long non-coding RNA, 722 nt
Organism: Raphanus sativus (radish)
Lineage: Eukaryota; Viridiplantae; Streptophyta; Magnoliopsida; Brassicales; Brassicaceae
Exons: 7
Source: RefSeq, a predicted model, not a curated record
CUGAUUAUCGUUUAGCUCAAAAGUGUAUCUCUAAUUCAUUCCUUGCUUAUUCUGUUUUGCAGGUACAAGUUUCAGACAGACAAGACAUGGCUUUUUAUCUUCCAAGAAGUGAUAUUGAUGUUGUGAUUCAGCAGAGAAUGCUCAGCGUGAUGCAGCAAUGGAUAGUGUUAGAAGUGUUAUUCAUUAUAUCUGGCCUGAUUGCAAGGUAGAAGUUCUUGGCUCAUACAAAACAUGUCUUUAUCUUCCAACAAGUAAUAUCUAUCUCAUCUCAAUGGUCUUAACCAAGCGGGAUCUGAUGGCCUCAAGGCUAAAAGUCCGGGGACGGUGAAGACUAUCUGCUGAGAGGCAGAAGAUGUUGGAAGACAUAGAACGAGACUUCAAAGCUGCUAAGAGACUGUAUGCUUGAAGAAAUUGAAUGUGAAUUCGAAGCUGCUAAGAGAAGGUAGCAAAAGGGUGGGUCCUUAGCCUCAGAGACAUUAGGUUUAAGAGUGGAGUAGUUCCAAGCUCCGGUGUGUGACUGGAAGACGGUGACGUUGGAGUAAUCGUUGUGACUCGGUCGUAGUGUGGUGCGGCGUAAGGAGAUAGAACUUUAGGUAUAGAAUUUUAUGUGUAGGUUUAAUUUUCAAAUUUAUUUUGGAAAAAAAAUUGGUUUAGUUAAAUUAGUUUGUAUACCGGUCAUAAAUAUGUAAACAAUUUCAAUAUAUAAAUUUUGAAAAUAUUUU